Long non-coding RNA from Echinops telfairi (small Madagascar hedgehog), 892 nucleotides. RefSeq lists it as uncharacterized. Lineage: Eukaryota; Metazoa; Chordata; Mammalia; Afrosoricida; Tenrecidae. The transcript has 2 exons. The record is from RefSeq and is a predicted model, not a curated record.
CCCUUGCUCAGCCCUGGCCGGUAAGGUGCCAGGGUAGAGCUAGGCAAAUUGUCCUCGGCCCUGCACUCACCCAAAUCCUUUAUUACCAUCUUUGGGGCAUGGACAGUUGCUAAAGUCAGGAGACUUGAACUGAUUACCUACUGUAUGCCAGGUCCAUUCUAGGAGCUGUUUCAGGGUCCUGGGGGUGAGGGGAACAAGGGCCCCAGGACUCAGCGGAGGCCCAGUGCUGUCCGACCCCAGAGCUCUACCCCACCAACCCCGUGUCUUCUGCUGACAGCUCCUCUGAUGAGGACAUCCAGUACCGGCUGGUGACGAGAUUUGUGAAUGAGGCUGUCAUGUGCCUACAAGAAGGGAUCUUGGCCACCCCCGCCGAGGGAGACAUCGGAGCUGUCUUUGGGCUGGGCUUCCCGCCAUGUCUUGGAGGGCCCUUCCGCUUUGUGGACCUCUACGGCGCGCAGAAGAUUGUGGACCGGCUCCGCAAGUAUGAGGCUGUCUAUGGAAAACAGUUCACGCCGUGCCAGCUGCUGACCGACCACGCGGCCAGCCUCAAGAAGUUCUACCCUUGAGUGGCCCUCGGGCCUGUGCUCAGUGAGCGCACUAACAGGGCUGCGGGCGGGCGUCUAGAUGUCAGUUACCGGGGAAAACCAGGUUUGCCCUUUGACUAAAGUGCCUUCAACUGUGACUGUGGCCUGCCCUCUGUGGCCUGUGACUUAGGGGCUGGGAGGCCAACCCUGUACUCGGGACUUUGUAUUAUGUGCCCUGAAGCCCAAGGCGGCGGCGGCUGUGGAGCCAGCUCUGCUGCCCCUUCCUGCCCAGGGGCCUGGGGGGUUGGUAGGGCGGCUCUGCAGCCAGCUGAUCACGAGAACAAUAAAACCCAGACGCUCAGCCUCUC